Molecule: long non-coding RNA, 1882 nt
Organism: Camelus dromedarius (Arabian camel)
Lineage: Eukaryota; Metazoa; Chordata; Mammalia; Artiodactyla; Camelidae
Exons: 2
Source: RefSeq, a predicted model, not a curated record
UCCUGCUCGAGUUCCGGUGCCUCCUCGGGACUCCGCGGGGAAACCUUAGGGAGCCGGUUCUCAGGCCCCUCGCACCUGGAGCGAGACUCCGGGUGGAAAAGAGGCAGCCUCCAGGAGCUGAGAACAGCCUCCCCACUCAUCCCCACCCCCAGCUAACAGCCAGCCAGUGAACAGAGGCCUCAGUCCUACAACUGCAAGGAACUGAAUUCUAUCAGCAACCGUAUGUGCUUAGAAGCACAUUCUUCCCCGAGUCCCCAGAAAGGAAUGCAGCCUGGCCAUCACCUGGACUUCAGCCCAGCAAGACCCUGAACAGAGACCCAGUCACACUGAUCUACAGAACAGGGAGCUAAUAAAUGGGUCUUGUUUUAAGCUGUUGUUUGUGGUAACCUGUUACAGAGCAAGAGAAAACGAAUACAGAGAUCUUAACAGAUUUCUCCAUAUUAACUCAUAGAGAAGAAAGAAUGAAACACUACGGAGGCUUUUCUUGCCUUGCAGGAAGUGAACACUGAGGUACACCUCCAUGGAGGAAAAGGCAAGACUGUGUAAGGUCUAAAUAUACAAAUUCAGAUGAUUUGAGCAAAAGCCUCAUGAGAGUUGAGACUCUGAGAUUAUGAACAUGUUAUUAUAAUCCACACUGGUGUUUUUAGAACUGGGAGUAUGUUUUAUUUCCUAGGGAACUAGGGUUAUAAAUACAUCUCAGUUCUUCCUAUAAGCAUGCCAGAUUGGAGUCAGAUGCAGCUUCAGACCCCAGCUUUGCCAUUUUACUUGACAUUGGGUAAAUAAUCUCUCUAAGCCUCAGUUUUAUCACCUAUGGAAUGAGCAUGAUGAGGGUGUUAGGUUUAGAUGAGAUACUACAUAUGUGUUCUUAGCACAGUCCCUGACGCAAGCUCUCUAGAAAUCAUUGCCACACAUAUGUACACAAGAUGGAUAAAAUAAUCAGUGCUUGAAAUAUUCACAGCCCCCUUCUGCCCCCUCAAAUGCUAAACUAUACUGAUGUUGACUAAUGAGCAUUGCCCCUUUGCUCUCCUCCUGUUUUCUGCUUAUUCUUUAUUCAGUACAUGAAGUAGUCAAUCAAGAGAACAGCUGGAGAAGUUGGGUAGGAGAUUCAAGUAGGCAAGGGCUAAAAUGAGAGAGGUGACUAGAGGAGUAGGGAGAAGGCUAAUGGGUGGGGGUCGGGAGAAGGAAAGAGGAGAGAAGAUGAAGGUAACAGGAAGGGUUAUUUGUAAGGAGAGUGGAGAGAGAUGAAGAACCUGGACCAGACGAAUAAGAGAGUUUACAAAAAUAUGAGGGAGUCCACACUGACAUAAAUACAUGAUUGAAUAAAAAAGAAAGGCAAGUGAAUAGACAAAUUCCCCGUGGAGAAGAAUUCCAAAUAAUUUGUGUAGAUACUUCGCCCUCAAGGAAGUGGAACAUAACCCUCCAUUCUUUAGGUAUGGGCCAUGCAUAGUGACUUCUACCCAAAGAGGACAGUGUAGAAGGAGGGUAUAGCUCAGUGGUAGAGUGCGUGCCUAGCAUGCACAAGGUCCUGGGUUCAAUCCCCAGUACCUCCAUUAAAGGUAAAUAAAUAAAUACCUAAUUACCUCUCCCCCCCGGGGUGAGGGUGGGGAAACUAAACACAAAAGAGGACAGUAAGGGAGAGAGGAGUCAGAAGGGAAGAAGGGAAUGACUUUACAGAAGAGAAACCCAGCAAACACUACCUCAGCCAGGUGAUCAAGGUUUCAUACGAUGUGAUGAGAACUGCACUUGACCUCUGUGGUCUUCCUCCCCCAAUGCAUAAUCCAGUCUAACCAUGAGAAAAACAUCAGACAACUCCUUAUUGAAGGACAAUUUGUAAAAUACCUGGCCAUCUGCUCCUCAAAACGAUCAAGGUCAUCAGAAACCA